This 27-nucleotide transfer RNA is filed under the name Dasyatis chrysonota (blue stingray). RNAcentral's name for it is "partial tRNA-Leu". Lineage: Eukaryota; Metazoa; Chordata; Chondrichthyes; Myliobatiformes; Dasyatidae. The record is from RNAcentral.
GCUAUAGAAAGAUAAUAGUUAUCUAUU